UGCGAAUGGCUCAUUACAACAGCCAUAGUUUAUUAGAUAGUCUAUUACUACAUGGAUAACUGUGGUAAUUCUAGAGCUAAUACAUGCUACAAACAGUGACCUCGCAAGAGGUAGCUGCGCUUUUAUUAGAACAAAACCAAUCGCGCUGUGGGCAACCGCAGUGCGUCAUUUGGUGAAUCUGGAUAACCUGGCAGAUCGCACGGUCUAGCACCGGCGACACAUCUUUCAAAUGUCUGCCUUAUCAACUGUCGAUGGUAGUUUACAUGCCUACCAUGGUGAUAACGGGUAACAGAGAAUAAGGGUUUGACUCUGGAGAGGGAGCCUGAGAGACGGCUACCACAUCCAAGGAAGGCAGCAGGCACGCAAAUUACCCACUCCCGGCACGGGGAGGUAGCGACGAAAAAUAACGAGGUCGUUUCCUUAUGGAGCCGACCAUUGGAAUGGGUACAAUUUAAACCCUUUAACGAGGAUCUAUUGGAGGGCAAGUCUGGUGCCAGCAGCCGCGGUAAUUCCAGCUCCAAUAGCGUAUAUUAAAGUUGUUGCGGUUAAAAAGCUCGUAGUUGGAUCUGCGGUCGUAGACUCUGGUUCCCUCCUAGGGAUACUAGCUGUCUCGACCUACCUUGUUAGAUUUCCCUUGGUGCUCUUUACUGAGUGCCUUGGGUGUCUAGCUCGUUUACUUUGAAAAAAUUAGAGUGCUUAAAGCAGGCAUUUGCCUGAAUAGUGGUGCAUGGAAUAAUGGAAUAGGACCUCGGUUCUAUUUUGUUGGUUUUCGGAGCAUGAGGUAAUGAUUAAGAGGGACAGACGGGGGCAUUCGUACUGCUACGUUAGAGGUGAAAUUCUUGGAUCGUAGCAUGACGAACAACUGCGAAAGCAUUUGCCAAGAAUGUUUUCAUUAAUCAAGAACGACAGUUAGAGGUUCGAAGGCGAUCAGAUUACCC
This 938-nucleotide ribosomal RNA is filed under the name Nematoda environmental sample. RNAcentral describes it as "bacterial SSU rRNA". It matches the Rfam family "Eukaryotic small subunit ribosomal RNA", at positions 88 to 1018 of the family's 1831-position model. The record is from RNAcentral. Lineage: Eukaryota; Metazoa; Nematoda.